GAUGAAGAACGUAGCAAAAUGCGAUAAGUAAUGUGAAUUGCAGAAUUCAGUGAAUCAUCGAAUCUUUGAACGCACAUUGCGCCCGCUGGUAUUCUGGCGGGCAUGCCUGUUCGAGCGUCAUUUCAACCCUCAAGCCCCCGGGUUUGGUGUUGGGGAUCGGCUCUGCCCUUCUGGGCGGUGCCGCCCCCGAAAUACAUUGGCGGUCUCGCUGCAGCCUCCAUUGCGUAGUAGCUAACACCUCGCAACUGGAACGCGGCGCGGCCAUGCCGUAAAACCCCAACUUCUGAAUGUUGACCUCGGAUCAGGUAGGAAUACCCGCUGAACUUAAGCAUAUCAAUAAGCGGAGGA
Molecule: unclassified non-coding RNA, 348 nt
Filed under: soil metagenome
Description: partial contains 5.8S ribosomal RNA, internal transcribed spacer 2, and large subunit ribosomal RNA
Rfam family: 5.8S ribosomal RNA (bases 1-120)
Source: RNAcentral